RNAcentral lists this ribosomal RNA (565 nucleotides) under Aeromonas hydrophila. Its description in RNAcentral is "partial 23S ribosomal RNA". It matches the Rfam family "Bacterial large subunit ribosomal RNA", at positions 2387 to 2925 of the family's 2925-position model. The record is from RNAcentral. Lineage: Bacteria; Pseudomonadati; Pseudomonadota; Gammaproteobacteria; Aeromonadales; Aeromonadaceae.
GGUCGAGCAGGUACGAAAGUAGGUCAUAGUGAUCCGGUGGUUCUGAAUGGAAGGGCCAUCGCUCAACGGAUAAAAGGUACUCCGGGGAUAACAGGCUGAUACCGCCCAAGAGUUCAUAUCGACGGCGGUGUUUGGCACCUCGAUGUCGGCUCAUCACAUCCUGGGGCUGAAGUCGGUCCCAAGGGUAUGGCUGUUCGCCAUUUAAAGUGGUACGCGAGCUGGGUUCAGAACGUCGUGAGACAGUUCGGUCCCUAUCUGCCGUGGGCGUUGGAUGAUUGAAGGGAGUUGCUCCUAGUACGAGAGGACCGGAGUGAACGAACCUCUGGUGUUCGGGUUGUCACGCCAGUGGCACUGCCCGGUAGCUAAGUUCGGAAUCGAUAACCGCUGAAAGCAUCUAAGCGGGAAGCGAGCCCUGAGAUGAGUCAUCCCUGACCCCUUGAGGGUCCUAAAGGGCCGUUGGAGACCACAACGUUGAUAGGUGGGGUGUGUAAGCGCGGCGACGUGUUGAGCUAACCCAUACUAAUUACCCGUGAGGCUUAACCAUACAACACCCAAGAAGUGUUCU